AGCAACCUGCCCUAGGCUUUGGGAUAACCCCGGGAAACCGGGGCUAAUACCGGAUAUGACCACAUGUCGCAUGGUGUGUGGUGGAAAGUUUUUCGGCCUGGGAUGGGCUCGCGGCCUAUCAGCUUGUUGGUGGGGUGAUGGCCUACCAAGGCGACGACGGGUAGCCGGCCUGAGAGGGCGACCGGCCACACUGGGACUGAGACACGGCCCAGACUCCUACGGGAGGCAGCAGUGGGGAAUAUUGCACAAUGGGCGGAAGCCUGAUGCAGCGACGCCGCGUGAGGGAUGACGGCCUUCGGGUUGUAAACCUCUUUCAGCAGGGACGAAGCGGAAGUGACGGUACCUGCAGAAGAAGCGCCGGCCAACUACGUGCCAGCAGCCGCGGUAAGACGUAGGGCGCGAGCGUUGUCCGGAUUUAUUGGGCGUAAAGAGCUCGUAGGCGGCUUGUCGCGUCGACCGUGAAAACCUGGGGCUCAACCCCAGGCCUGCGGUCGAUACGGGCAGGCUAGAGUUCGGUAGGGGAGACUGGAAUUCCUGGUGUAGCGGUGAAAUGCGCAGAUAUCAGGAGGAACACCGGUGGCGAAGGCGGGUCUCUGGGCCGAUACUGACGCUGAGGAGCGAAAGCGUGGGGAGCGAACAGGAUUAGAUACCCUGGUAGUCCACGCUGUAAACGUUGGGCGCUAGGUGUGGGGGGCCUCUCCGGUUCUCUGUGCCGCAGCUAACGCAUUAAGCGCCCCGCCUGGGGAGUACGGCCGCAAGGCUAAAACUCAA
Molecule: ribosomal RNA, 771 nt
Filed under: Micromonospora humi
Lineage: Bacteria; Bacillati; Actinomycetota; Actinomycetes; Micromonosporales; Micromonosporaceae
Description: bacterial SSU rRNA
Rfam family: Bacterial small subunit ribosomal RNA
Source: RNAcentral